This 253-nucleotide ribosomal RNA is filed under the name uncultured bacterium. Its description in RNAcentral is "partial 16S ribosomal RNA". It matches the Rfam family "Bacterial small subunit ribosomal RNA", at positions 524 to 776 of the family's 1533-position model. The record is from RNAcentral.
UACGAAGGGGGCUAGCGUUGUUCGGAAUUACUGGGCGUAAAGCGCGCGCAGGCGGCUCUUCAAGUCAGGGGUGAAAGCCCAGAGCUCAACUCUGGAACUGCCUUUGAGACUGAAGAGCUUGAGUACGGGAGAGGUGAGUGGAAUUCCCAGUGUAGAGGUGAAAUUCGUAGAUAUUAGGAAGAACACCGGUGGCGAAGGCGGCCCACUGGUCCGGUACUGACGCUGAGGUGCGAAAGCGUGGGGAGCAAACCGG